RNAcentral lists this unclassified non-coding RNA (258 nucleotides) under fungal sp. RNAcentral describes it as "partial internal transcribed spacer region". The stretch from base 1 to 45 matches the Rfam family "Eukaryotic small subunit ribosomal RNA", at positions 1787 to 1831 of the family's 1831-position model. The record is from RNAcentral. Lineage: Eukaryota; Fungi.
AGUCGUAACAAGGUAACCGUAGGUGAACCUGCGGUUGGAUCAUUAAAUAAUGAUUGAUGGGUCAGGAAUCCUUCAAGCCUUGGUUUGUCAAGGACUGACUCAUCACUAACCCCUGUGCAACUGUCUAGUAUUUUGGGUACUGCAGUGUUUCUGAUACUGCAAUGCCCGAGCAUAUAAAAUAACACCAAUUGAAACUUGUCUUGUUUAAUUUAUUAAAAAUAAUGUAAACAACUUUUGACAACGGAUCUCUUGGCUCUC